Molecule: ribosomal RNA, 89 nt
Filed under: Brassica napus (rape)
Lineage: Eukaryota; Viridiplantae; Streptophyta; Magnoliopsida; Brassicales; Brassicaceae
Source: RNAcentral
GGGUGCGAUCAUACCAGCACUAAUGCACUGGAUCCCAUCAGAACUCUGCAGCUAAGCGUGGUUUGUGUGGGAACCGAAAUUCGCACUUC